This 606-nucleotide long non-coding RNA is filed under the name Capsicum annuum. RNAcentral describes it as "long non-coding RNA (CANN_LNC021819)". The record is from RNAcentral. Lineage: Eukaryota; Viridiplantae; Streptophyta; Magnoliopsida; Solanales; Solanaceae.
UGACACUCCAGAAAUGGAAUUAGAUAGAGAUAGUAACAAGUGGUUGACAUGAAGAUGCAACCCAAUAUUCCAAAAAGAAAAGUGCAGCUUAUCAAUUAUAAAGGGAACAAAAAGAAGAUCGAUUACAUAUACCAUUUAAGGAAUAGAGAAAAUGACCAAACCCCCCAGCCCUCCUAUUUUUAUCUCAAAUCUCAACUAUACACUUUUACUUUGUGGAGUCCUAUCACACCUUCGAACUAUUUUAAAGUAGAAUAAUUAUCUCCUGAAAACUGACACUCAAAUGUGUAAUGGAAAGUGAGUAACACACACUUGCCAUGCACUUCUCCGGGAUUGAAUUCUUCCCCUUUCGAUUACCCAACUCUUUUGAGGUAUUUUUAUGUAUCAACCAUGUUCUAGUUUUAGCCUUCAUUAGUUAAAAGCAGCCCACUUGACUGCUGCAUCUGUGUCUUUGUCCUUCAAUUUGCCAAACAAAACUAUUUCAAGGAAAGAGAAAAUAAUUCUGAUAUGACACACAGCGGAGAUGAAACUUGGACAUUGGACAUGCAUUCUUUAUGAUGUUUUGCUUUCCUUAGGAAUUAGGAAAUAUACCUGUUAAUAAAUAUUCAG